GAUGAACGCUGGCGGCGUGCGUAAUACAUGCAAGUCGAGCGAACGGACGAGAAGCUUGCUUCUCUGAUGUUAGCGGCGGACGGGUGAGUAACACGUGGAUAACCUACCUAUAAGACUGGGAUAACUUCGGGAAACCGUAGCUAAUACCGGAUAAUAUUUUGAACCGCAUGGUUCAAAAGUGAAAGACGGUCUUUCUGUCACUUAUAGAUGGAUCCGCGCUGCAUUAGCUAGUUGGUAAGGUAACGGCUUACCAAGGCAACGAUGCAUAGCCGACCUGAGAGGGUGAUCCGACACACUGGAACUGAGACACGGUCCCGACUCCUACGGGAGGCAGCAGUAGGGAAUCUUCCGCAAUGGGCGAAAGCCUGACGGAGCAACGCCGCGUGAGUGAUGAAGGUCUUCGGAUCGUAAAACUCUGUUAUUAGGGAAGAACAUAUGUGUAAGUAACUGUGCACAUCUUGACGGUACCUAAUCAGAAAGCCACGGCUAACUACGUG
Molecule: ribosomal RNA, 497 nt
Filed under: uncultured bacterium
Lineage: Bacteria
Description: partial 16S ribosomal RNA
Rfam family: Bacterial small subunit ribosomal RNA
Source: RNAcentral